AUUGAACGCUGGCGGCAUGCCUUACACAUGCAAGUCGAACGGCAGCGGACCUUCGGGUGCCGGCGAGUGGCGAACGGGUGAGUAAUAUAUCGGAACGUACCUUUCAGUGGGGGAUAACGUAGCGAAAGUUACGCUAAUACCGCAUAUUCUGUGAGCAGGAAAGCAGGGGAUCGCAAGACCUUGCGCUGAUUGAGCGGCCAUAUCAGAUUAGCUAGUUGGUGAGUAAGGCUCACCAAGGCGACGAUCUGUAGCGGGUCUGAGAGGAUGAUCCGCCACACUGGAACUGAGACACGGUCCAGACUCCUACGGGAGGCAGCAGUGGGAAUUUUGGACAAUGGGCGCAAGCCUGAUCCAGCCAUGCCGCGUGAGUGAAGAA
RNAcentral lists this ribosomal RNA (376 nucleotides) under uncultured bacterium. RNAcentral's name for it is "bacterial SSU rRNA". It matches the Rfam family "Bacterial small subunit ribosomal RNA", at positions 30 to 412 of the family's 1533-position model. The record is from RNAcentral.